RNAcentral lists this ribosomal RNA (491 nucleotides) under uncultured bacterium. RNAcentral describes it as "partial 16S ribosomal RNA". It matches the Rfam family "Bacterial small subunit ribosomal RNA", at positions 28 to 507 of the family's 1533-position model. The record is from RNAcentral.
GAUGAACGCUGGCUACAGGCUUAACACAUGCAAGUCGAGGGGAGACGACGGGGAAGCUUGCUUCCCCGGGCGUCGACCGGCGCACGGGUGAGUAACGCGUAUCCAACCUGCCUCUGACUGAGGGAUAACCCGUCGAAAGUCGGCCUAAUACCUCAUGGCAUCGUCUGCGGGCAUCCAACGACGAUUAAAGAUUUCAUCGGUCAGGGAUGGGGAUGCGUCUGAUUAGCUUGUUGGCGGGGUAACGGCCCACCAAGGCUACGAUCAGUAGGGGUUCUGAGAGGAAGGUCCCCCACAUUGGAACUGAGACACGGUCCAAACUCCUACGGGAGGCAGCGGUGAGGAAUAUUGGUCAAUGGGCGGGAGCCUGAACCAGCCAAGUAGCGUGCAGGAUGACGGCCCUAUGGGUUGUAAACUGCUUUUAUGCGGGGAUAAAGUGAGGGACGUGUCCUUCAUUGCAGGUACCGCAUGAAUAAGGACCGGCUAAUUCCGUG